CCAGAAAACCCCCGACACAAAUGGAGAGCCGGGAAGAGAUCCGAAUGGAAGCACCAAAUAAACACCAAAAGCAAACAAAAAGAAAACUACACCAAAUAAAAGGAAAACAGAACAAAACACCACUGAAACCAACACCAGGCAGGUCAGGAAAGGAGGGCAAAGAAACACUGCGAAAGCUGGCCAGAAGGGGAGGAGGCAGGGAACCCCCACCCAACCCCCCACGCGAGCCAAGGCACACCACUCCCAGAACACCCUACCGAUGCCAGCACAGGAACCAUAAGAGUAAGACAUUGUUGUCGAUAGCGGAUUAUGGAAAAUAGAGGAACACCAAAAUUCCACUAUGUGAAAUAGGGGAUAGUGUUGCUGGAAAAUAGUGAAAGUCGCAUAGGGUUGAAAUAAGUCAAUUUUUUAUGAAAAAGGGCAAGCUGCAUACAGAUAAGAAAAAGAAUGGAGGCAAAGCAUAUCUUCUACACUGGAAGGUUUAAUUAUUACUGUUAAUAUAAGAGUAAUGCUCACCUAAUCUUCGGUUUUCUAUAGUAAAAGUAGGCCAUGUUUGGCCCAUAUGCAGAUUCUUCGGUUUUGUUUCUAAAAAAGACCCUAAAAUUCUCUUUUUCCAUUAUUACUGCUACAUCAGCUAGCAAAAACUGGAAUAGCGGGGCGGCUAUUGCGCUAAUAGUGUUGUGGUUUCCAUAGAGGAAUCACCAAAAUCCACUAUGUUACAGAGCUGCUAUUGCGGCGGCUAUUUGAUGACGCUGGAGCAGAAUAUGUUUAGUUUAGAAUUUGGUACCUGGAUCCAAGAUAAGCACAUAUUUCUGACCAUUUUUGUGAAGAGUAUCAACAAAAUUUCUCAUCUUAUCUUUCGGAAAAUUAACAGGAUCUAGAGUGAAAUCUUUAUAUGCAUCCAUGUAAUCAAUAUCUGUCCACAUAACUUCGAGGGGUAUACCAGCUUUUGCAUAGUUGGUUACUACACCCUGAACAUCAUUUACAUUCUUGUAUCCCCAUCGACAUUGAUGAAAACCUUCACAAAGAGUUAACAAUGAUGUGGAUUAGCAUAGCAAAUUGAUAUAAUUAAUCACCGUGAAUAUAAUACAAUAGAAAGACAAUUGCAAUAAACUGGUGUUAGAUUUUAAUGCCUGGAGCCCUGAACUAAUGCAUAGAAAUUUCAUAAAGUACAAUUCAAUGACUAUAGACCUUUAUAUGGUUUAAUUUUUUAUCAUCUAUGUCUAGGCCAUUCCUAACUUAAUAGGGGCUUGUCCUCCACACUUUAGUUUUCAACACCUAUAAACACAUUCUUUCAAGUUUCAUAGCAUUGGCUUUAUAUUUUGUAACUGUGGUUUGCAACAACGGUUACGGCCACAACGUAAGGGAUUCUAAAACUUCUACAACUGCAAUUCAAAAUACUAGAAGAAAAAAAAUUCAGUAGAACACCUUGAUAGAAGGUCGACUCUAGACCAGAACCUGAAAAUUUAUUCAAAACACCAAUGACAUUUGACAGGACUCAUCAUCCCCACGACUGAGUGGUUGACCUUAUCGGUGUUAGUUAGACAGAAAUACGAGUUGAGUUUUGAGCCACACAUAUCAAUUAUAUCUUGUUUGUUCCAAAUUGUAACCAAUCAGGUCACUAUCUCAGACGUUACAACAAGGAGGAAUAUGAAAUUCUACUCCCGAAAACCAAUAUCAGUCAUUGCUGAAGUUUCAAACGAUUUUUGAGUACUGAUCCACGAGUCGUGGAUCAGUACUUGAAAUUGUACACGACUGACCACGACUGGCCGCCUAUUAAAAUUGUACACCUUAUAACUUGCUAUAAACACUUGAGUAGUUGAGUUUCAACAAGUAAAACAACUAGAACUACAAGGACAAAAAGGAUUGAAAAAUUCAACAAUCCAUGCUGGACUUACCAAAAGACCAAUAAGGCAUAGGAGCAGGCCUACCAAUGAACUGAGUAUACUGAUCCAAAACCAAUUCAGGAGAUGAACCAGCAAAAAAAUACAAAUCAAAAACACCACCAAUCACCUUAUAAGUAAGACGAUCACCGCUAUAAACAACAUCCAUUCCAUUACUAUUAAGAAGUAAAACNUGUGGGAGACAAUUGAAAAUAAUCAUCAAUUUAUGUUUUGUAUACAAGAUUGGUUGAUCUAGGAGAAAACAAUGAAUGAUGGAGACAAGCCAUGUUGACUUAAAAGAUAAGAUGACAUUGUUACUAACAUUUUCCACUAAGAAGUAACAAUAGUUUUUUUUUUCUUCUUUUUUUAUUGCAAAUGUUACUAAAUUCUCCUUUGUGAGAAGAUUUUUAACUGUAGUAUUUUAACCCUACUUGAAAGGAGGUGACCUUAACUCUUUGUACUAACAAUUUUUUUGAGAGGACCACCACUUGAAAGGAUAUGAUCCAUCUUUAAACUAACCCUACUUGAAAGGAGGUGACCUUAACUCUUUCUACUAACAAUAGUUAAUAUGAUGGCGACUAUGUAAAUUGACUACUAGACAAAGAUGGGCAAUCACCAUUUUUCUUGUUCUUUUUGUUAUUAAAAAACAUAAUUAAUGAUAGCAGAUUUUUAUAUUAUAAAUUUCUAUUAAUAUGAUCGCAAAGGUUGAUCGAACUGAAAAAACCACUAGUCCAGCUCAAUGAUGGAGAGUGUUACCUGCAAACACUUGGCGCUCACAUCGCCAAGAGAAACCAUUGAGUAGUGUGUGUGUGUGUUCUCCUCGUGUGUCCCUCUCAUGUCAACGUGGCUCAUUCUUUGUUUCCUCCUACAUGAACUAACCUCUAUAAAUUUGUAGUUAUAGUCAUAGUUUUAAGAACCGGCCGGUUCAACCGUGAACCAUACCCAUUACCGGUUUGAGCCAGCUAUUGGAUCGGCCAUGUUAUUGACUCGGCUGCCACGUCAUAAACAAAGCUUAUAGCAUAAAAAAUUACAUACAAUACAAGUGUUUAUAUGUAAGCUAUUUCUAUAGGUUUAUGAGGCGUUAGCUCGAUGAUAAUAAUCUGACCUGCAAUUGCAAGAGACGGAGUUCAAAUUCAUGAGACAAUUGUAAAAUGGACAUUAACGCCACCAUAAUUUUAAUAAUAUUUCUCCUUCCCCAUUUUUUUUUAAAAUUGUUCCUUUUAAUAAACAACUAUUUCGAUAGCGAAAUAUAAAAUGAGGUCUGACUGUUUUCACAAGAUUAGCAUAGAGAGCUUGUGCAAAUAAUCCAAAAACAAUUUAUGAAUAUGUCAUAAACUGUUUUCAUAAGCUCUCGUAAACAAUCUCAAAUGUUUGUCGCGCAAUAAGCUCAAAUGGGACAAUUCAACCAGAUGUUGAUGAAUGUAUGGAAAAGGAAAGAAACACUUGAGAUAAUAUAAAUCAACUAAAUCUUGAGAUAAUAUAUAGAUUUGAUAGACAAAUAUAACUAUACUAGAUGAUACUUAUUUCUGAUCCCUUGUAGCAACCUUAACUAAGGUAAAACAAGGGACUCUUCAAAGAAGUAAAACUACUAAGAAAACACAUAUUAUUUUUGGAAAUUGCAUUCUCAAAUUUCCUUCUACCUUAUUUUAGUCUUCAGUUCAAACUGCUCUCCAAUAAGCUGUUUCAAAUUUGAAACUUCCACAGUAACAAACUUAGAAGACCUAUCAAAUUUUGUGAUCAAAACUCUUUUCCUCGUUGAAUUCAUUCCACUCACAACAUUUAACUCACUCUCAGCCAAAUCAUUUCCAUUUAACCUACCAUAAUUAGGUAUCCCCAAGAAUGUAACCUUUUCUAUGGUCCAUUUUUGGUCCAAAGCAAAUUUUCCAUUAGUAACAUUAGAAGUAACAGAAACACUGUCAUUAUUAUACAGUGCACCAUAAAAUCUCACAAGUGUCCAUUGAUCUUUCUCUCCUUCUAGAUCAAGAGCCUCACCAUCAUCCAAAUAAACUUGUCCAUAACUAUUUCCAUUUCCACUAAAAACAACCAAUAGUUCGAAUGCGGUGUUUCGAGCUGCUUUCGUUGUCAUUGCUUCACCUUGUAAGGCCAAAAUGUUACCUUCACCAACAUGCACAUUUAUGUGAUCAGAUGGUGCAUCAAGUGUGACAUAUUUGCCUGAUUCUGCACUCACUGAAUUUGAAGGAUUAAAGAGAUCAAACCAAUUUCCUUUAGGAAAGUAUGCAUCAACAGUAACUGCACCAGAUUGUAGCACAGGUGAGACUAGAACACCAUUGCCUAAUAGAAACUGCGAGUUUAUUUCGUAUGUUGUGAUAUCCUCGGGGAAUGAAAAGAAAAGUGGCCGCGCAAUUGGUGUCCCUUUUGUGUUUGAUUCGUACAUUAGUGUGUAGAAAUAUGGAAGAAGGCGGUAACGAAGGGCGAGCACUUUUCGAGCUGAUGCUGCAACUGAAUCCCAAAGGUAAAGCUCUUGCCUGAUGGAACUUUUAUCUGAAUGAUCUCUUGCAAAGGGGUAGAAGGCCCCUAACUACAUUCAAGAAAAUAAAAAAGUAUUAGAUAUGCAUGCAAUGAUGGAAAUAUUUUCCAUCAGGGUUUUAAAAACUUAGGUACUGUUCUAUAGAAACUGUUCCUACUGUUCUCAACUUACAGAUAGUGUAACUGUCACCAACAAUUUUGAAUGGAUGUGAAAAACUGUCCUUUUUGUUAGAAAAAGUAAGAGUACAGCACACAUUGAAUCUAAGUUUAGUCCUUUAAAGAAAGGCCUACCGCGCGAUGUGGAAAGUGACAUUAAGAUUUUUUAUGUUUAUACGACUGCAAUUGCGGCUUUAUCACCACGAUUCUCUGAAAUAUAAGAAUCGCAGCGUGUCUGCAAUUUAAAACCUUUCUUUACCUGUAGCCAAAAAUCACAGCUCUAUCCAUGUGUAACUUUUAUAAAUUUAGUCUAGUGAAAAAGUUGUGGAUGCUAUCCGAUUUUGAGGAUCAAUGUUUGUUACCUGAAUCCAGCGCCGACAAAGUUCUUCAGUAGUGUCUGCUGAGAAGCCGCAUAUAUCCGCUCCAACCAUAGGAACUCCAAAGAUUCCAAAGUUUAAUAUUGAUGGGAUUGAGUAUGCUAAAUCAUUCCAUGUAGCAGCAUUAUCUCCUGUCCAAUGAGCUGUAUACUUGCCAGAGCUAACAAAAGUUGAUCUACUCAAAAUGAAUGGUCUUUUACUAGUUAUUUCCACUAAGGCCCUGUUGGUUGUUUUGGAUUCUAAGAGACCAUACAAAUUGUGAGAAUCAUACUCAGUGAUAUUACCAUAAUGUAAAGAAGUUGCUGGCACCGUUUUAUUGUUGAUUGGUCGUUGAACGCCAGUACUGUUAAUUUUGUAAGGAGGGCUGUCAAGAUUAGAAUGAGGAGUGUCAUUCGAAGUUAUGAAAUUUGAUAACUCAUUCAUGUCAAGCCAAAUACCAUCAAAAGGGAGAAGUUCCCUAAAUAAUUUGAUUUCUUCACCCCAAAAUUCUUGGCUAUGAGGGUUAAGAAAAUCAGGAUAGUAAACUGGUCCUGGCCAAACUUCACCUAGAUAAUUGACUCCAUUUCUCUUUAGAUAGACAUCAGCUUGUAAGCCUCUAACAUAGGUUGCAUAUGUGUUAUUUACACUGAUACCUGUGUACAAAAAAGCAAUGACAUGUGCAUAUAUAUAUAUAUUUUUUUGAAUGGCAAAUAUAUAAUAUAGAAAAAGAACACACUGUACAAGAUACACCAACAGGACCAUCAAAAGAUGGUCCAAAGAGACCCCAGAAAACCCCCGACACAAAUGGAGAGCCGGGAAGAGAUCCGAAUGGAAGCACCAAAUAAACACCAAAAGCAAACAAAAAGAAAACUACACCAAAUAAAAGGAAAACAGAACAAAACACCACUGAAACCAACACCAGGCAGGUCAGGAAAGGAGGGCAAAGAAACACUGCGAAAGCUGGCCAGAAGGGGAGGAGGCAGGGAACCCCCACCCAACCCCCCACGCGAGCCAAGGCACACCACUCCCAGAACACCCUACCGAUGCCAGCACAGGAACCAUAAGAGUAAGACAUUGUUGUCGAUAGCGGAUUAUGGAAAAUAGAGGAACACCAAAAUUCCACUAUGUGAAAUAGGGGAUAGUGUUGCUGGAAAAUAGUGAAAGUCGCAUAGGGUUGAAAUAAGUCAAUUUUUUAUGAAAAAGGGCAAGCUGCAUACAGAUAAGAAAAAGAAUGGAGGCAAAGCAUAUCUUCUACACUGGAAGGUUUAAUUAUUACUGUUAAUAUAAGAGUAAUGCUCACCUAAUCUUCGGUUUUCUAUAGUAAAAGUAGGCCAUGUUUGGCCCAUAUGCAGAUUCUUCGGUUUUGUUUCUAAAAAAGACCCUAAAAUUCUCUUUUUCCAUUAUUACUGCUACAUCAGCUAGCAAAAACUGGAAUAGCGGGGCGGCUAUUGCGCUAAUAGUGUUGUGGUUUCCAUAGAGGAAUCACCAAAAUCCACUAUGUUACAGAGCUGCUAUUGCGGCGGCUAUUUGAUGACGCUGGAGCAGAAUAUGUUUAGUUUAGAAUUUGGUACCUGG
Molecule: long non-coding RNA, 6457 nt
Filed under: Medicago truncatula (barrel medic)
Lineage: Eukaryota; Viridiplantae; Streptophyta; Magnoliopsida; Fabales; Fabaceae
Description: long non-coding RNA (MTRU_LNC008189)
Source: RNAcentral